Long non-coding RNA from Oncorhynchus masou masou (cherry salmon), 388 nucleotides. RefSeq lists it as uncharacterized. The record is from RefSeq and is a predicted model, not a curated record. The transcript has 3 exons. NCBI's taxonomy places the organism in Eukaryota, Metazoa, Chordata, Actinopteri, Salmoniformes, Salmonidae.
GCCUAAUGCUAUUUCAACAUGUUUUAAAUUAUCUACUUUAUGUAAAGAUUUGCCAGUGGAUUUCUGGAAUGGUGGACAGGGAGUAAGAUCCCUAGAUAGGAGCAUGCUGACAGACCAGGAAGAAAGUGGAUGUUGCACAGCAGAGGUGAACGCCAGAAGUAGCACACCAUAGAUGUUAGCUGGGACGUUGCGUGUCUGCAGAGCCGGAGCUGAUGUGACUGAGGAGAAAGCUUGCUGUUGCUGGAGCAGACCGAGACCAGUGUUGAAAUGGAGAAAGGAGGCCUUGAUGGGAAUUGGGAGGGUGAAUGCUGUGUUACGUGCUACACACUCAUUAAUGCCAGUGUGAUCCGUGUGACCUGACAGGAGUACGAACUAUGAAUCAACAAGC